Molecule: long non-coding RNA, 201 nt
Filed under: Sorghum bicolor (sorghum)
Lineage: Eukaryota; Viridiplantae; Streptophyta; Magnoliopsida; Poales; Poaceae
Description: long non-coding RNA (SBIC_LNC009026)
Source: RNAcentral
GCUCGGUGGAUCCGGCGGCUCCGGCGGUGGUUUUUGCACGCGCGCGAGAGAAUCGAGGCAGGGAGAAAUUGAAAUGAGAGCGGGGGAGAGACGACACGGCUCGGGCGCAUCCAAAGAGGGCAAGGCGCGGGGAGAACGUGGGGAAACGGGGAGUGGGAUGCGCAGUUGCCCAAGAAGAGGGAGAGGGGCGGUUGCUGGAGG